RNAcentral lists this ribosomal RNA (464 nucleotides) under uncultured bacterium. Its description in RNAcentral is "partial 16S ribosomal RNA". It matches the Rfam family "Bacterial small subunit ribosomal RNA", at positions 28 to 506 of the family's 1533-position model. The record is from RNAcentral.
GAUGAACGCUGGCGGCGUGCUUAACACAUGCAAGUCGAACGGAAAGGCUCCUGCUUGCAGGGGUACUCGAGUGGCGAACGGGUGAGUAACACGUGGGUGAUCUGCCCUGCACUUCGGGAUAAGCCUGGGAAACUGGGUCUAAUACCGGAUAGGACCACAUUUUGGAUGGUGUGGUGGAAAGUUUUUCGGUGUGGGAUGAGCUCGCGGCCUAUCAGCUUGUUGGUGGGGUAAUGGCCUACCAAGGCGUCGACGGGUAGCCGGCCUGAGAGGGUGUACGGCCACAUUGGGACUGAGAUACGGCCCAGACUCCUACGGGAGGCAGCAGUGGGGAAUAUUGCACAAUGGGCGCAAGCCUGAUGCAGCGACGCCGCGUGGGGGAUGACGGCCUUCGGGUGGUAAACUCCUUUCGCUAGGGACGAAGCGCAAGUGACGGUACCGGGAGAAGAAGCACCGGCUAACUACGU